AGAGGAUCAGCCUGAGCAAAGGGCAAGUGGUGGAAGAGCCGUGGCUCUGGGCCCUUCGGUGGCUGUUGGUUGUGGACGAGCUUAUGGGUAUCUGGGAACACCCUGACUCUGUCCCAGUUUUCUCUCCCUUUGGAGUUCCUGGGGUGGGUUAUGAUCUGCUGCAAUGCUUUUCCUGGUCUUCGUUCCCUGCUUAUGUUUGUUCUGAAAGCUUGCCCAUCCUUGCCAGUGGAUUUGCCAUGUCUAAACAACAGGACAGAAGAAGAGACUCUGAAAUGGUGCUAAUCAGGGCAUUUUACAGACAGGAGUCAGUAAAAUUAUUUGAAUGUAUUCAAUCUGCUGAAGCUGAAGCUCCGAUACUUUGGCCACCUGAUUUGAAGAGCUGACUUACUAGAAAAGACCUGACUCAUUGGAAAAGACCCUGAUGCUGGGAAAGAUUGAAGACGAAAGAAGUAGGCUGCAGAAGAUGAGAUGGUUGGAUGGCAUCACUGACUCAGUGGACAUGAAUCUGAGCAAACUCCUGGAGACAGUGAAGAACAGGAAAGCCUGGCAUGCUGAUACCCAUAGGGUCGCAAAGAGUUGGACCUGACUGAACAACAAUAACAAAUUCAGUCUGCCAUCAUAACCUUUAUAUAGGUACUUUAUUAUGUUCUUCUUAAGGCUAUUUUUUAUAAUGAUUUUAUCUUGGUUUAUCAUUAUAUUAAUAAUAUUAUUUUCUUUAAUCAUUUCACAUAUGCUGAUUUUCUAACUUUUUCACAUUAUAGAAACCCUCAAAUUGCUGAAGUAAGACUUUUUAUCAAGGUGAAACUAUUUUCCUCUGUGGUUUGUAUUUUUUUUUUUGACUGUGAGCCUUUCUCAUCAUUCAACACACCUCUUCCCCACCCGCAUUCCUGUGGGAAUUGUAUGUCUUGUUCAUGGCAGAAAUGUUGGAUAAUAGUCUGGCAUUUCCAUCUGUAUCUCACCUGCUCCACAUGAAGUUAUGUUAAUUUCCUAGCUUGAGGCUUCUUGCAUUUCAUAAAUCAUGUAAAUUCUGAUUCAGUAUGCUUGUGUUUUGGAGGCAUGGAUCUUAUUUUCUCAUGGUAGAAUUACUUGCAUUCAGAGAGCUUCCUUAUGGGUUGACCAGGCUGCUAGUGCUUCUUGCACUGAGAGGGCUGUUCUUCUAGGCUCCUGGAUAUAGGCAGGGUAGCCUAUAGUUUCAGUUGCUACUUUGUAAGGACUCAAUCUUGUGUCUCAGAUUAACUUUCCCAGAGCAGCGCUGAGGUGAAGAUCCAUGGUAAAGUAAUUUAUUAGCAGGUGUUCCCAGAAAAGAUAGGGGUUUGGAAAAACAAGACUGGAAAAGGAAUUUUGUCAGGCAAGGGCAUAGUAUCAAGCAGAGUCCCAGCCAGG
RNAcentral lists this long non-coding RNA (1383 nucleotides) under Bos indicus x Bos taurus (hybrid cattle). RNAcentral's name for it is "lncRNA (ENSBIXG00005009269.1)". Lineage: Eukaryota; Metazoa; Chordata; Mammalia; Artiodactyla; Bovidae. The record is from RNAcentral.